CCGUAGGCGGGCCUGUAAGUCAGGGGUGAAAGUUUGUGGCUCAACCAUAAAAUUGCCUUUGAUACUGCAGGUCUUGAGUCAUGGUGGGGUUGCCGGAACAUGUGGUGUAGCGGUGAAAUGCAUAGAUAUCACAUAGAACACCGAUCGCGAAGGCAGGUGACCAACCAUGUACUGACGCUGAUGGACGAAAGCGUGGGUAGCGAACGGGAUUAGAUACCCCGGUAGUCCACGCCGUAAACGAUGGAUACUAGCUGUGGGGACUUCGGUCUCCGUGGCCAAGCGAAAGUGAUAAGUAUCCCACCUGGGGAGUACGUUCGCAAGAAUGAAACUCAAAGGAAUUGACGGGGGCCCGCACAAGCGGUGGAGCAUGUGGUUUAAUUCGAUGAUACGCGAGGAACCUUACCAGGGCUUAAAUGCAGGCUGCAUGGGGUAGAGAUACCCCUUUCUUCGGACCGCCUGCAAGGUGCUGCAUGGUUGUCGUCAGCUCGUGCCGUGAGGUGUCAGGUUAAGUCCUAUAACGAGCGCAACCCCUACCGUUAGUUGCCAGCAUGUCAAGAUGGGGACUCUAACGGGACUGCCGGUGCAAACCGUGAGGAAGGUGGGGACGACGUCAAAUCAUCACGGCCCUUACGUCCUGGGCUACACACGUGCUACAAUGGCCGGUACAGAGGGAAGCCACCCCGCAAGGGGGCGCGGAUCUACAAAACCGGUCACAGUUCGGAUCGGGGUCUGCAACUCGACCCCGUGAAGCUGGAAUCGCUAGUAAUCGGAUAUCAGCCAUGAUCCGGUGAAUACGUUCCCGGGCCUUGUACACACCGCCCGUCAAGCCAUGGAAGCCGGGAGUGCCUGAAGUCCGUCACCG
Molecule: ribosomal RNA, 862 nt
Filed under: Flagellimonas marinaquae
Lineage: Bacteria; Pseudomonadati; Bacteroidota; Flavobacteriia; Flavobacteriales; Flavobacteriaceae
Description: bacterial SSU rRNA
Rfam family: Bacterial small subunit ribosomal RNA
Source: RNAcentral